Molecule: ribosomal RNA, 1595 nt
Filed under: Salmonella enterica subsp. enterica serovar Enteritidis
Lineage: Bacteria; Pseudomonadati; Pseudomonadota; Gammaproteobacteria; Enterobacterales; Enterobacteriaceae
Description: partial 23S ribosomal RNA
Rfam family: Bacterial large subunit ribosomal RNA
Source: RNAcentral
GAAUGCUGACAUAAGUAACGAUAAAGCGGGUGAAAAGCCCGCUCGCCGGAAGACCAAGGGUUCCUGUCCAACGUUAAUCGGGGCAGGGUGAGUCGACCCCUAAGGCGAGGCCGAAAGGCGUAGUCGAUGGGAAACGGGUUAAUAUUCCCGUACUUGGUGUUACUGCGAAGGGGGGACGGAGAAGGCUAUGUUGGCCGGGCGACGGUUGUCCCGGUUUAAGCGUGUAGGUGUGUGUUCCAGGUAAAUCCGGUUCACUUUAACACUGAGGCGUGACGACGAGGCACUACGGUGCUGAAGCAACAAAUGCCCUGCUUCCAGGAAAAGCCUCUAAGCAUCAGGUAACAUCAAAUCGUACCCCAAACCGACACAGGUGGUCAGGUAGAGAAUACCAAGGCGCUUGAGAGAACUCGGGUGAAGGAACUAGGCAAAAUGGUGCCGUAACUUCGGGAGAAGGCACGCUGACACGUAGGUGAAGUGAUUUACUCAUGGAGCUGAAGUCAGUCGAAGAUACCAGCUGGCUGCAACUGUUUAUUAAAAACACAGCACUGUGCAAACACGAAAGUGGACGUAUACGGUGUGACGCCUGCCCGGUGCCGGAAGGUUAAUUGAUGGGGUCAGCGCAAGCGAAGCUCCUGAUCGAAGCCCCGGUAAACGGCGGCCGUAACUAUAACGGUCCUAAGGUAGCGAAAUUCCUUGUCGGGUAAGUUCCGACCUGCACGAAUGGCGUAAUGAUGGCCAGGCUGUCUCCACCCGAGACUCAGUGAAAUUGAACUCGCUGUGAAGAUGCAGUGUACCCGCGGCAAGACGGAAAGACCCCGUGAACCUUUACUAUAGCUUGACACUGAACAUUGAGCCUUGAUGUGUAGGAUAGGUGGGAGGCUUUGAAGUGUGGACGCCAGUCUGCAUGGAGCCGACCUUGAAAUACCACCCUUUAAUGUUUGAUGUUCUAACGUGGACCCGUUACCCGGGUUGCGGACAGUGUCUGGUGGGUAGUUUGACUGGGGCGGUCUCCUCCUAAAGAGUAACGGAGGAGCACGAAGGUUGGCUAAUCCUGGUCGGACAUCAGGAGGUUAGUGCAAUGGCAUAAGCCAGCUUGACUGCGAGCGUGACGGCGCGAGCAGGUGCGAAAGCAGGUCAUAGUGAUCCGGUGGUUCUGAAUGGAAGGGCCAUCGCUCAACGGAUAAAAGGUACUCCGGGGAUAACAGGCUGAUACCGCCCAAGAGUUCAUAUCGACGGCGGUGUUUGGCACCUCGAUGUCGGCUCAUCACAUCCUGGGGCUGAAGUAGGUCCCAAGGGUAUGGCUGUUCGCCAUUUAAAGUGGUACGCGAGCUGGGUUUAGAACGUCGUGAGACAGUUCGGUCCCUAUCUGCCGUGGGCGCUGGAGAACUGAGGGGGGCUGCUCCUAGUACGAGAGGACCGGAGUGGACGCAUCACUGGUGUUCGGGUUGUCAUGCCAAUGGCACUGCCCGGUAGCUAAAUGCGGAAGAGAUAAGUGCUGAAAGCAUCUAAGCACGAAACUUGCCCCGAGAUGAGUUCUCCCUGAGACUUAGAGUCUCCUGAAGGAACGUUGAAGACGACGACGUUGAUAGGCCGGG